RNAcentral lists this long non-coding RNA (815 nucleotides) under Xyrichtys novacula (pearly razorfish). Lineage: Eukaryota; Metazoa; Chordata; Actinopteri; Labriformes; Labridae. The record is from RNAcentral.
UUUUUUGGGCUCCACAUGGAGUAUUUUUAUUCAAAGAAAAGUGCAAACAAACAACCACUCAGUGCAACCUUUGUUGCAGGUCAGGGUGGGGGUUGGGCGACUGGUGCAGGGAGUACAGUAGGUGUGAAAACCCCUGAUGGGGGGGUGGAUGUGCCUCACUCCCCUCUUCUUAGUGGCUGUGAAAAUGAAGAUAAAUUACUAUGUAGAACACAAAAUAAAUAAUAACAUCUGAACAUUUCCCUGAAGGACACAAAGGUUGUGGAUAUAUGUAAACUUAUUCAAUAAUUUGAGUAACCAUGACCUGUACUAUAUUUUGUUUGCAUUUGUAUUUACUUCAUGUUUUUGUUUUCAUAAAUAAUAUAUUCAAAGACAGAUAAAAUGCAACGUCUGCAAGCAAAGUAAGCCCAAAACGAACAAAUAUAGUGGAACUGCAGUAAUAUUCAAUGCUAUUGGAUUGCCAUACUUACUACUGUGUUUACAGUUUCAUGACAAAGGAGUCUACACAACACUGAGCCUUAUAAAUAAAUGCAAAUACUUACUAGUAAACGAGGUCCACUUCUAAUGUAAACAAUGCCUCCUCCUCGGAGACGACGUCGUUUCUGCUAAGUCAGAGGAGUCCUCAAAUUCACCGUCUGAGCCCUGCUGAAUUUCUCAUAAAAUGUCCGCCACAUCCCUCUAAGAGUUGAAUGUUUCUUCUCCAUUGUUGAAAAGUACUCAAAAGAAGUUUUAUAAGUGGUGGAGAAAGUUUACAGGAGAGUCCCGAGUGAUCAGCGUGCGAUGCAGCAGUCUGCCUUUGUCUGUGGGGCGCUGCACCU